AAGACCCUAGUAAAACAUUAUAUAGCCCCGUCAGAGCUAAGUUAUAGGUCACCCCUAUGGGUCUUG
Molecule: transfer RNA, 66 nt
Filed under: Ptyodactylus guttatus (Sinai fan-fingered gecko)
Lineage: Eukaryota; Metazoa; Chordata; Lepidosauria; Squamata; Phyllodactylidae
Description: tRNA-Asp
Source: RNAcentral